UACGUAGGAUGCAAGCGUUAUCCGGAAUUAUUGGGCGUAAAGUGUCCGCAGGUGGCUGUGUAAGUCUGCUGUCAAAGAGCAAAGCUCAACUUUGUAAAGGCAGUGGAAACUACACGGCUAGAGUGCGUUCGGGGCAGAGGGAAUUCCUGGUGUAGCGGUGAAAUGCGUAGAGAUCAGGAAGAACACCGGUGGCGAAGGCGCUCUGCUAGGCCGCAACUGACACUGAGGGACGAAAGCUAGGGGAGCGAAUGGG
RNAcentral lists this ribosomal RNA (253 nucleotides) under uncultured bacterium. Its description in RNAcentral is "partial 16S ribosomal RNA". It matches the Rfam family "Bacterial small subunit ribosomal RNA", at positions 524 to 776 of the family's 1533-position model. The record is from RNAcentral.